RNAcentral lists this long non-coding RNA (3276 nucleotides) under Takifugu rubripes (torafugu). RNAcentral describes it as "lncRNA (ENSTRUG00000032057.1)". Lineage: Eukaryota; Metazoa; Chordata; Actinopteri; Tetraodontiformes; Tetraodontidae. The record is from RNAcentral.
CGCUCACAAAAGGACGUUAAAUCCAUGAUUUUCACACUCAAGGCGGUCACUCGUCUUGCAGGCAGGCUUGACUUCAAAUAUUUAUGCUGCAUUUCAGAGUGCCUAUAAAUAGACACCGGCUGACGCAAUUUAAAAAAAGAAAAAGAAAAGAAAAAGAUGUUAUUUUUACCCCUGUCAGGUUCACCUGUCUCACGACGAACAUAUACCCUGGAAGCAAAGAGUGCUUUACUCUGUGCAUUCUGAUCAUGCCCUGCAGACAUUAGUAGUCCGCACAACACACCUACUAUAAACUGCACACUCUUUAAUGUGCCCCGACGGCACAAUCCUAUUUUUGUACUUUUCUGAGCAGUGAAAAUAGCCUCUCCAUACGUCUAUAACCCAACAUAAUGUCCGUUAAUGCCUUACUAAUUUGCUUUCAUAAACAUAUCUGCUGUUGCUGUACAUGUAGCACAACAGGAUAAGUAUAAAACUGCUGUAGGCGAAUUAUUGUGCUAUUAGAAUAGUGAAUCGCUACAGUUUUACAUGCUAUGCUAUACAUUAAACAGGCAAGUUCCUCUUUUUUUUAAAAAAAAAAAACAAACAACCCAACAACACACAACUGAUUAUAUCUUUUCCUGAUCUCACAACCACAAGAUGUUUUACAUUAAAGCGCCAUCUGCUGGUCGCAUUGGACGAAUGUGUGUAAUUCCCCCACGCCGCCGGCAGGGGUCAGUGUCACACAGCUCUGGAAGUGUCAGGCUCGGAUUAAUGGAGGAAUAUAAGGUUCUCCGGCUGGCUCUGUCGCUGCUUAUUACUGGAGAAAUAUUAGCCAAAAAAGGCUAAACGUGAGUAUGGAUGCAUCGAAAACAUCCCACAGCUACACCAAACAAGCUAGUUAUGGACACGGAAAGGACAAAUACGUUCCAAGUACGGUUAUUUUAAUUUAUUUUGUAACAUUGCAUUCCAGGGAACCUUUUCAAUGGCCUCAAUUGGUUUAGCUGUACGCACGUUCGCAAGUACACCUGGGAAAUGGAGUUCUUACCUCUACAACUGUAUGGGUGUAAAAGAAAUAAUUUUGUGUAGUAACCAUUAGCUUUCAUUUUUUUCCCAGUCAAUUAUCUAGCAAACAACAUAAAAUUGGAGGGGAAAAAACCUCCCGCUAGAAUUCCCAGGUGACAACUUAUUAUAUCUUGUUUUGUCUGACCACAUGCUGGAAACCCAAAUACAUUCAAGCCUCAGUUUUGUUUUUGUUGUUUUUUGUUGUUUUUUUUAAAAAAGGAAUGUGGAUUGGAAGAUUACAUCAAACUCUGCUGUGAAGGAAUGUUUUGGCACUUUUAGGGAAAAUGAGGAUCUCAUCUUUGCUGUCAGCUCUCCUCACGUUAUGGACAGAUGUGAGAACCUCUGUGUGAAUUGACUUAAGCGUUAAGUAUGCCUCUAGCUUCCUGUCUGACCUGAGUACAUUCUUGAUUUUAUUUUGUGAUUUAAUUUAACGGAAUGUCAAUAUUUAGAUUUUAAAACUGCCAUUUCACUAAAAUUAUUUUGUCCUUUCUGAUAUGAAAGCCAUCCUUUCUUCUACAAGAGUGGACUCAAAUUGCGCUCUCCCCACAACUUUCAAGCAGCUAGCUUAAACAUUCAGUGUGACGGUCACAAACCACACACACCCCACCCUUAUGAACACACUCGCAGGCCUCAUCUUCAUCCACCAACCCCCUGUCUCCCUCGGGACCUCCAGGAAAGUCUGGUGAGGGGCAAACAAGCAGGAAGUCACAGCUGCGCUCGUCCCCCUUUCAGCGUGUGUGAGAGCAAGUGUGUUUGUAUCUACGUGUAGAUCUUGGCUACAGGGCGUGUAUGUGUGUGUCUGCACGUCUGUCUGUGCCUAAGCUAGUUUAUCACACCACAGUGAUGCUGCGUUCUUUUGUUCUCCGUCUGUGAUCACGCGUUUUCGUCUUUCAGUAUCUCACUCGUUCAAUUUUAUCUUCAGCUCUCGUCUCUUUUUAUUCCCUCAUUACUAAUUAUUGCUGAUAAAACGCACAUUGUGCAAUUAUUUAAAGCAGUGAUGCAACAGUUGGCAUAAACAUCUGCGUACGAGGUUAAAACUUGUUGAACUGUGUUGGUUAGCGUUGUCUUGCCUAAUAAUAAGAUGAUGCAUUUUUGUGUAUCCAUGUACCUUUAACCUCACUAAUAGCUGCGGAUUAUGGUUCUUUUUAUUUGAUUGCCUCCCUCCUCGAUCAGGUCUUCGCUGUAAAUCUCAGGCCCUUCAGUUUAACGGGAGCAGCGUGCCUCGCCGAAAGAAAACAUGAGAAAGAGUAGCGGGAGAGGUGGAAGCAGCCGAAAGAGGCAGGAAAGAUGUGAAAACCAGAGCCGUGGCGGAGGGUGAGUACGGAUCCCUGCGGAGCCGGGAGAGAUCGACAAAUCUGGUGCGGAACGAUGGCUUGAGCAGGCGCGUGAACGUGAACUUGAAGGGGUUUCCAACUCUGAAACACAUGGACGUUCCCGUCCUUCCACCUGCAAAAGAUCCCUCAUCUGCGUCUCUGGAUCCCUUCCCGCUGGAUCCAAUGCCGAGGAUGCACGGAUGCUGUUGAGUCCUCUGGAGGGGUGUCGACGGGCACGUCGGGAGAGGGUUGUGGGCGAGGGACGGAGAUAGGGGAAAGAGGGGGGAGGUGAGAGAAAAGGAGGAGGAGAGAUGAAGGGGGGGGGGGUGACUCCACGGCCGUGACCGGACUGCCCCCUUUCUUCCCCUCAGCCUCUCUCAGUAUCUCAACUUCUUUUUUCCUCCUUCCUCCCUUCUCUGCCUCCUCCUCCUGCUGCUGCAUGUUUUUUUUUUUCUCUUUUAAUGAUUUGGGGAGAAGAGGGGAACCGGCAUUCAGAGCUCGGCUGACGGUGUGAGCGGGUUGUGCGUCAUAGGCAACGGGAGCCUGAGAGCGAAGAAGGGUUGGGGCAAUUGAGCUCUGAUGCACAGGCUGACUAACAGAGGCGGGAAUAGGGACAGAUUCAAGAUACGCUGAUCUACACUCCGGAAAACACCUCAACUCCCUCAGAAAUGCGAGGAUUUUCUGAAGAUUUUUCAUAGAAAGACCUUGUGAACAUUUUUCCAGGCAGUUUUCUCCCACUGGCGAGCAAAAGAGACAGUCAGAGGCUGAAGGAGAUGAACAGAGAGGGUGGCUCGUCUUCAUCCCGCAAUGCUUCUGAGGGGAUUCGCACCGAACUGUUCUGGUCGGCCCAAGCGGACGUAGGACCCCUUCACCUUCACUGAGCUCCUUCAGAGCAGGAGAUCCACAUUUUUCCCCAGCAGAGACU